Molecule: ribosomal RNA, 207 nt
Filed under: uncultured bacterium
Lineage: Bacteria
Description: partial 16S ribosomal RNA
Rfam family: Bacterial small subunit ribosomal RNA
Source: RNAcentral
AGCGUAGACGGCAAGGCAAGUCUGAUGUGAAAACCCAGGGCUUAACCCUGGGACUGCAUUGGAGACUGUCUGGCUCGAGUGCCGGAGAGGUAAGCGGAAUUCCUAGUGUAGCGGUGAAAUGCGUAGAUAUUAGGAAGAACACCAGUGGCGAAGGCGGCUUACUGGACGGUAACUGACGUUGAGGCUCGAAAGCGUGGGGAGCAAACA